This 75-nucleotide transfer RNA is filed under the name Thermospira aquatica. RNAcentral's name for it is "Spirochaetales bacterium F1F22 tRNA-Val". It matches the Rfam family "tRNA". From Rfam's summary of the family: Transfer RNA (tRNA) molecules are approximately 80 nucleotides in length. Their secondary structure includes four short double-helical elements and three loops (D, anti-codon, and T loops). Lineage: Bacteria; Pseudomonadati; Spirochaetota; Spirochaetia; Brevinematales; Thermospiraceae. The record is from RNAcentral.
GGGUGGUUAGCUCAGAUGGUUCAGAGCGUCUGCCCCACACGCAGAAGGUCACUGGUUCGAAUCCAGUACCACCCA